UUUUUUUUUUUUUUUUUUUUUUUUGGUCUUUUUGCCUUUUCUAGGGCCGCUCCUACGGCACAUGUAGGUUCCCAGGCUAGGGGUCGAAUUGGAGCUGUAGCUGCCGGCCUACACCAGAGCCACAGCAACGUGGGAUCCGAGCUGUGUUUGUAACCUACACCACAGCUCACAGCAACGCCAGAUCCUCAACCCACUGAACAAGGCCAGGGAUCGAACCCGCAACCUCAUGGUUCCUAGUCGGAUUCGUUAACCACUGCGCCACGACGGGAACUCCAGAGAGGUUACAUUUUUAAAAGACAAGUCUAGUGCUUUUAGGUAACAAAUGCUUCCACUGAGUCUUGGAUGGAGAAAAGAUUUUCUACAUAGGCUGGGGGAAUAAAAAAAGCUCAUUUCCUUUGCCUUUCUUGUUAUGGAGUGUGAUGCAAAUAUGCAUUUGCUCUGGGAUUCUACUGGUGAUUAAAAUAACAUUAUGAUUCAAUAAAAAGUGCACCAGGCAGUGUUGCUUACACAUGACUACAUGUCACUGUGGUUUUUUUCUAUUUAAAGUUCAAAAAAUAAACUAUAACUCAGCACUGACUUUAGGGUUUGCACUAAUGUUUUUAUCAACUCUAGUUUUAUUUGACUGGCACUCAUUUCUUCUAUGAUUUUCCUCACAUGCUGGAAUUAUUGAAAUGUUGAUCCAAAUGACUUUGAAGAUUUCAAUUACUGGCAAAUUAUAGAAGUGUAUUUCCUAAAACUGAAAUAGCCAUAAACCAGAGUAGCUCAGAAUAUAGAUAUUGAUGACAAGAGAAUCUUGUGAAACAGCCUAUGGAGACGCCAGGAGAAAAAUCUUCCAUUCUAACAGGAUAGACCCUGAUAUUCUUGUUACUGUGCCAAGAAGCUAUUCCAAAAGUUCUUGCACUUACGCAAGGCAAGACAUUUAAUAACCUACUUUUGAACAGCUGUCAAUUGCCAACAUAAGGAACCACACACAGCACAGACAAUGAAAUUUCUGUUUAAAUCAAAUCAAAGGCAUAUUUAUACACAUUUCUGUUAUCUCCCAGCCUAACUCAAAGAAGUCAUACCUGCCUCAAGGGCUUUAGAUCAGCCAAGUGGGACUUCAGCUUCACCCACUGCAUGGUCAAUCUGAGGAAGAAAAGGAGGAGGAGCAGAGAAAGUAGUAAGUUUAAUGUUUUUUAGCUUGUGAAAAUAUUAGCUAACUGGUGAUUUAUCUUCAUGUUUCUCUGCCCCAAGGAGGGAAAGAAAGGCCAGCACCAAAAUCCAUUUCAGCACUUUUCUCAUGUGAGUCAUUUAAACAACCAACCAACUCUUCAACACCUCGCCCUCAGAAAAUGUGUUGAGUUGUGGCUAAUGGGUAGGAAAGCGUCCCUCGGCCCAGGAUGUUAAGAGGAACGUGGCCGGCAAGGGCAGCGUGGUCUCUGGUUCGCGGUAGAGGGGUAUUGCUCUGCAGAUGUGUUUUUUCAGACAGGCAGGUUUGUGCUAAAGAAUUUAAGUGUAUGUAUUUCAUACCACCAUUAAUAGAUAGUAAUGAAUAUCUACUAAUAAUCUACUGAGGUUUAAAAUAUAAACAGUGAACAUCUAGUCAAUUUAACCUAAAUAAUUUCGGUCUAAUGUUAGGAGAGGAGUCCAGAGUAGAUGGGAUUCUGAAGUGUACUUUUUUUUGUCUUUUUGCCAUUUCUUGGGGCUAUAGUUGUUUUUAAAAGGAUUUUCACUGCAAAGGGUAUGUUAAAUGGAGAAUGUGGUGGCACUAAAAUGGCAGUCUGCUUAAAAAAAAAUAAUAUACAAGAAACCAUAGGGGAAAGAAAAGAGUGGCCAUUAAACUAAACUAUUAAGAAUGGUUGCACUUUACAUUCCAAAUGUGAAGUUAUGUAUCGGGGCUAUUACAAUUGCAGAGUGCUGUACAGUGGAUUCAGUAGAAUGGCCAUGUAAAUUGAAAAGCAAACUAAUGUCUCUUCAAGCUCUGGAAACCACAGAAGGAAUUUGCUCCCAAGUGGGAAACUCUAGGCAAUCAACCAAUGAAUCACUCACCCAAAGAACAAGAGCUUUGUCUUUCUCAUCAACUGUCUUUUACACAGAAGUAAGAUACGGGUCACUUGAUAACAAUAUCAGGGAGAAAACCAGAAGGGCAUAGAUUUUGGCACAUAGAGCUCCCUUGAGUGCUGAUGAUUUGUAUUAUGGAAAGGAAUGCAGUGUAUUCCUUUAAUUUUGCCAUAUAAAACGUUCUCAUGAAAUAUUACACCUGAAAUGCUGGAUAAAAAUACUCUUGAUUGGGAUGCUUAUGUUUGUUAGGGUGAAGAGAUUACACACAAGAAAGCCAACUGCAGAAAUGAAAAAUAGGCUUAUAAUACAUUUACACCAGAGGAUCUAACAAGCCUAUGUUUGAGGUUAUAAUGAAGAAAAAAAUUCUGUAUUAUGAAGAUCCUUAAUGCAGGAGUGGUUAUUAGAGUGAAAUGUGGUUAAAAAUAUAAUCAAGCAACACUGCAGAACUAGAAUACUGAAUAGUGGUGUAUCAUUUGAUGGAACCAAUAAAAAGAACUGAAGAUCAUGCAGAAAAAUGUGGGGAUAAGAACUUGUGAAGUUCCCAUUGUGGCUCAGGAGUAACAAGACUAACUGGUAUCCAUGAGG
Molecule: long non-coding RNA, 2625 nt
Filed under: Sus scrofa (pig)
Lineage: Eukaryota; Metazoa; Chordata; Mammalia; Artiodactyla; Suidae
Description: lncRNA (ENSSSCG00040045733.1)
Source: RNAcentral